CACAAUGACUCUCGGCAACGGAUAUCUCGGCUCUUGCAUCGAUGAAGAACGUAGCGAAAUGYGAUACUUGGUGUGAAUUGCAGAAUCCCGUGAACCAUCGAGUUUUUGAACGCAAGUUGCGCCCGAAGCCAUUAGGCCGAGGGCACGCCUGCCUGGGUGUCACA
Molecule: ribosomal RNA, 164 nt
Filed under: Pediomelum californicum
Lineage: Eukaryota; Viridiplantae; Streptophyta; Magnoliopsida; Fabales; Fabaceae
Description: 5.8S ribosomal RNA
Rfam family: 5.8S ribosomal RNA
About the family: 5.8S ribosomal RNA (5.8S rRNA) is a component of the large subunit of the eukaryotic ribosome. It is transcribed by RNA polymerase I as part of the 45S precursor that also contains 18S and 28S rRNA.
Source: RNAcentral